This 227-nucleotide long non-coding RNA is filed under the name Hordeum vulgare. Its description in RNAcentral is "long non-coding RNA (HVUL_LNC006793)". The record is from RNAcentral. Lineage: Eukaryota; Viridiplantae; Streptophyta; Magnoliopsida; Poales; Poaceae.
UUUUUUCUUUUCUUUUUUUUGUUAUCCUCUUCUUCAUCUUCUUCUUCUCCUCCUCCUCCUACUCUUCUCUUCUUUUCUUCUUCUCCUCCUCAUCUUCUUCUUAUUAUUAUUCUUCUUCCUCUUCUUCCUUUUUUUCCUUUAUCAUCUUCUACUACUUAAUUAUUCUUCUUUUCUUCCUUUUCUGCACUAAGCUAAUUAACCUAAACUAACAAUAACCUAUUUAACAC